CCCAUGGCUUCUUGUAGCAAUGGCUCCAAUUUCUGGAAAGCCAUGAUAAGCGAAUGUGGGCUUUGGCACGGAAUUAAAUGCUAAGCAAACAUUGGAAGCAAUCCACUAAGCACAGAAGCUGCCCAUCUGUAUCCAUUUCCAUGGGGGUCUAUGCAGGGCAAUGAUGUCUGAGCACCAGCGGUGCCCUGUGGAUUGCAUCAACGGCCUGGACUCAUUAAGAGCGAUGUUGCUUAAUGGCAGCGGUGGCAGAAACUGCCUUCCAGAUGACUUGAGUCUUUGUAGCCAGCACCCCCAUUCCCAAGAACACCUCAGAACAACAUCCAGAGCAUCCUAGAAAGAACAAAAUGGCAGCCACCGGGAGUGCCCAGUGUCAAAAGUUA
Long non-coding RNA from Lacerta agilis (Sand lizard), 380 nucleotides. RefSeq lists it as uncharacterized. The transcript is spliced from 2 exons. The record is from RefSeq and is a predicted model, not a curated record. NCBI's taxonomy places the organism in Eukaryota, Metazoa, Chordata, Lepidosauria, Squamata, Lacertidae.